UACGAAGGGGGCUAGCGUUGUUCGGAUUUACUGGGCGUAAAGCGCACGUAGGCGGAUCGUUAAGUCAGGGGUGAAAUCCUGGAGCUCAACUCCAGAACUGCCUUUGAUACUGGCGAUCUUGAGUCCGGAAGAGGUGAGUGGAACUCCUAGUGUAGAGGUGGAAUUCGUAGAUAUUAGGAAGAACACCAGUGGCGAAGGCGGCUCACUGGUCCGGUACUGACGCUGAGGUGCGAAAGCGUGGGGAGCAAACAGG
This 253-nucleotide ribosomal RNA is filed under the name uncultured bacterium. Its description in RNAcentral is "partial 16S ribosomal RNA". It matches the Rfam family "Bacterial small subunit ribosomal RNA", at positions 524 to 776 of the family's 1533-position model. The record is from RNAcentral.